Chiloscyllium plagiosum (whitespotted bambooshark) is the source of this 555-nucleotide non-coding RNA. The record is from RefSeq and is a predicted model, not a curated record. Lineage: Eukaryota; Metazoa; Chordata; Chondrichthyes; Orectolobiformes; Hemiscylliidae.
UGUGGCUAGAGGUAUUUUCCAAAGAUCUGUAUUGGGUCUUUGGAUUUUCUCCAGUUAUAUGAAUGAUUUGAAUGAAGGAAUCCAAAAACAUACAUUCAGAUAACUUUUAGGUUUGGAGGAGAAAGUUGCAGGAAUGAGAUAAGAAGUCAAAGGAACCCAUACAAAUUACGUAAGUAAAUAGACUUAUAGCAGAUAGAGUUCAUUGUGGGGAAAUGUGAGGUUAACCCAUUUUGAAUCUGAGAAAGAAAAAUUGUAAUAUUCUCUUAAUAGUGGGAGACUGGGAGCUGGAGAGGAGAAAUAUGUGAAGCUAACCUCGACAAGGUCUUUUCCUCAGAGUGGGGGAAUCCAAAACUAGAGGACACAGGUUUAAGGGUAAUAGCAACACCAUAGAUUUUCUGUGGGAAUCUACUUGCAGUUAUGCUUGAAAAAUGAACGGCCCACAGAACAAUAUAGGACAGGACAAGCCGCAGCAAAGCCAUCAGAAUGCUGAAACUAAUUCAAACACACACUGGACAGCAAAUGGUGAACCCAAGAGGAAACCUCAGCAGACUAGUG